UCCUGGGCUGGGCCCGCGGUGUCUCGUC
Molecule: non-coding RNA, 28 nt
Filed under: Homo sapiens (human)
Lineage: Eukaryota; Metazoa; Chordata; Mammalia; Primates; Hominidae
Source: RNAcentral